RNAcentral lists this ribosomal RNA (1459 nucleotides) under metagenome. RNAcentral describes it as "bacterial SSU rRNA". It matches the Rfam family "Bacterial small subunit ribosomal RNA". The record is from RNAcentral.
GUCGAACGUGAAUGGAGUAAUUCUAGUAGAGUGGCGCAUGGGUGCGUAAUACGUGGAUAAUUUGCCCUUGGGAUCGGGAUAACUGCUGGAAACAGCAGUUAAUACCGGGUAAGACCACAGGUGUUAUGAUUUGUGGUAAAAGUGGGGGAUUUUUUGGAACCUCACACCUGAGGAUGAGUCCGCGGCCCAUUAGCUAGUUGGUAGGGUAAUGGCCUACCAAGGCUAAGAUGGGUAGCUGGUCUGAGAGGAUGACCAGCCACACUGGAAUUGAGACAUGGUCCAGACUCCUACGGGAGGCAGCAGUGGGGAAUAUUGCACAAUGGGCGUAAGCCUGAUGCAGCGACGCCGCGUGGGGGAUGAAGGCCUUCGGGUUGUAAACCCCUGUCGGCAGGGACGAAUGGGUGGGUAGUUAAUAUCUGCCUAUCUUGAUGGUACCUGUAAAGGAAGCACCGGUUAACUCUGUGUUAGUAGUUGCGGUAAGACAGAGGGUGCAAGCGUUGUUCGGAAUUACUGGGCGUAAAGGGCGCGUAGGCGGUUCUGCAAGUCGGAUGUGAAAUUUCUCGUUUUAAGCGAGGAAUUGCAUCCGAAACUGCAAGACUAGAGUCCUGGAGAGGGAACUGGAAUUCCUGGUGUAGAGGUGAAAUUCGUAGAGAUCAGGAGGAACACCCGAGGCGAAGGCGGGUUCCUGGACAGUGACUGACGCUGAGGCGCGAAAGCGUGGGUAGUAAAUAGGAUUAGAUAUCCUGGUAGUCCACGCUGUAAACGAUGGACACUAGUUGUCGGUGGUAUUGAUUCCGCCGGUGACGAAGUUAAUGUAUUAAGUGUCCCGCCUGGGGAGUACGGCCGCAAGGUUAAAAUUUAAAGGAAUUGACGGGGGUUCGUACAAGCGGUGGAGCAUGUAGUUUAAUUCGGCGCAAUGCGAAGAAUUUUACCCAGGUUUGAUAUUUAGGGAACCCGCUAGAGAUAGUGGGGUGCCCUUUGGGGAGCCCUAAGAUAGGUGCUGUAUGGCUGUCGUUAGCUCGUGUUGUGAGAUGUUGGGUUAAGUCUUGUAAUGAGCGUAACCCCUGCCGUUAGUUGCCAGUGAGUAAUGUUGGGUAUUCUAACGGGACUGCCGGUGUUAAGCCGGAGGAAGGUGGGGACGACGUUAAGUCCUUAUGGCCUUAUACCUGGGGUUAUAUACGUGCUACAAUGGCUGGUAUAAAGGGUAGCAAAACCGUGAGGUGGAGCGAAUUUUAAAAAACCGGCCUUAGUUCAGAUUGGAGUCUGUAAUUUGACUCCAUGAAGUCGGAAUCGUUAGUAAUCGCGGAAUAGUAGGCCGCGGUGAAUACGUUUCCGGGCCUUGUACAUACCGCCCGUCACACCAUGGGAGUCGGCUGCUCCAGAAGUUGCUGAGUUAAUUUGUAAGGGAGGUAGGCGCCCAAGGAGUGGUCGGUGACUGGGGUGAAGUUGAAAUAAGGUA